AACGAACGCUGGCGGCAUGCCUAACACAUGCAAGUCGAACGAGACCUUCGGGGCUAGCGGCGCACGGGUGCGUAACGCCUGGGAACUUGCCCUUAGGCUCGCAACAACUGACCGAGAGGUGUGCUAAUACCGGUGAAUGUCUUAGGAGCAAUGAUUUAUCGCCCUUGGAUGGGCCCGCGUUGGAUUAGCUAGUUGGUAGGGUAAAAGCCUACCAAGGCGACGAUCCUUAGCUGGUCUGAGAGGAUGAUCAGCCACACUGGGACUGAGACACGGCCCAGACUCCUACGGGAGGCAGCAGUGGGGAAUAUUGGACAAUGGGCGAAAGCCUGAUCCAGCAAUGCCGCGUGAGUGAUGAAGGCCUUAGGGUUGUAAAGCUCUUUUACCCGGGAUGAUAAUGACAGUACCGGGAGAAUAAGCUCCGGCUAACUCCGUG
RNAcentral lists this ribosomal RNA (433 nucleotides) under uncultured bacterium. RNAcentral's name for it is "partial 16S ribosomal RNA". It matches the Rfam family "Bacterial small subunit ribosomal RNA", at positions 29 to 507 of the family's 1533-position model. The record is from RNAcentral.